Molecule: small RNA, 290 nt
Filed under: Coniochaeta ligniaria NRRL 30616
Lineage: Eukaryota; Fungi; Ascomycota; Sordariomycetes; Coniochaetales; Coniochaetaceae
Description: A. fumigatus sRNA Afu_309
Rfam family: A. fumigatus sRNA Afu_309
Source: Rfam by way of RNAcentral
CUUUUUUUCUCCUGCACGGGUCCGGUCCAAGGCGAUCCCCUGCCUGUUUCGACAGGUUCAGGGUUGAUUGCUGAGGCAGCUCGAUACUUUAAGGAGCACAUCUUAUUCUCUAUGGUGUAAAUUUCCAAUCGUCGGAUCCAAGACAAAAGAGGGCUUCCAAGGGCGCCGAGUUCGCGGUAAAACGCUGAGCACGGUUAGCUCUAGAAGUUCCGAAGGACGUUAUAUUCCACCCCUUUCACCGAGAUCGUCGAUCUAUGAGGUUGAGGUAAACCAUUUCCUAAUCCACAUUU